This 225-nucleotide long non-coding RNA is filed under the name Nicotiana benthamiana. RNAcentral describes it as "long non-coding RNA (NBEN_LNC028730)". Lineage: Eukaryota; Viridiplantae; Streptophyta; Magnoliopsida; Solanales; Solanaceae. The record is from RNAcentral.
AUAUAGUUGGAGAAGAAGGUGCUAGACGAGUGUGCACCUAUUGCUAGCAUUAUAAAUUAUGAUACUCUUAGGGGUCGUUUUGUUUUUUUAUAAACAAAUAUGAUCCGGGGAUAAAAAUUUAGUACUGUGGCCAUCCUUGUUCAUAGUGUGGUUGGGGAGCUCUCUCCAAACUACUAGGUCAAAGGUUCAAUGCUUGUAAACGCUCUAAAAAGUAGUAAUGGGAUA